AGGAAGCUCUCUCCUGUGAGGUCAUCUAAGCAGGACCGUCUCUCAGAGCAAAUGCAGUGGCUGCCCUGGGACCUGCUGUGUUUCUUCGUGAUCUGGGCAAUACAUGUCUUGCUGUUAUUGUUGCUUAUUCAGGACACAUAUAUUUCUCAGUGUGAAGACUUUUUAGAAUGUGUAUUCCAUUCAUAUUGAUGGAAGUAGGAGUCACACAGAUUUGUCAGUGUUGCUUCAGAAAAGCAACGGAGUGAAGAAAGCCCUUCUGUUGUUCACCAGGUCAGACUUAGAAGUCACACCCAGAAAGGAACUCACCUUCGACUCUUCAAAAGGAUACCACAUAGCCCUAAAAUAAGGUAGGAAAGAAAAAAAGAGCACCCCCAAACAAUUUUUAUGUGAAGAUACCGCUACAAUACUUCCAGACCAGACUGUUUUUAGUGCUGCCAUCCCAGAUUCUUCACAGUG
This 456-nucleotide long non-coding RNA is filed under the name Homo sapiens (human). Its description in RNAcentral is "HSALNT0204239". Lineage: Eukaryota; Metazoa; Chordata; Mammalia; Primates; Hominidae. The record is from RNAcentral.